CUUUGUGAGGGUUUAAUGUGAUGUAGACUUCGGACAGAGGUAUGGGUGCAGGUUUUCAUUAAAGUCAAGCAGGAGCCACACCUGAUUCCACCAGUUUAAUGACUUGAGCUUGGUUUUCAAUAUUCAGUGUGGCUUCUGCUUGCUUAGAAUGAAAACCUGCAUCCACACCAUGCCCUUUUCAGAUAGGACUGGACACCCCUGAAUUAUGAUGCCUUGUUAAAUUUGAUCCAUAGACACUUAAGAGAACGAUCAGUUCGACCUGAAUCUAAUCAGAUAAUAUGUAGAGUUUGAUUUAUUGAUACAUUUUACAGUGUGUUCCAACAGACGGUGUAGUGUGGUGCAGCACAGCACACUUACUAAUCUGAAUCCAGACCCAUGGUUAAGUAUCUGAUAAACUAUUGAGCACAGAGAGUUUGUUGUACUGACAGCAGGCACACCCAAACAAAGGCGGGGGUGCCAAUACUUUAAUCUUUGCAUGCCGAUUUUGUCACAGUGUUAAAGUACAACAAAAAUACAAACUACAAGAACUGUAAAUGGAGUUCUAUCAGGCAUGUAGUGCACUACAUAUGUCUUUUUUUGUGUGUUGUACACUAUGUAGUGAGCGAAAGCUGUUAAUAGGUAGCAGUUUGGGAUUUGGCCUGACUUGCCUAUGGUAGAUUUUAUGUCGAUCACAGGGAUGUAAAGAAAUUAGCUAAAUUUCAGCAACAGAAAACUUGAUUCUAAUCCAUCUGUUGUGUAAACUUGAUGUCUCAAAGUCACGAGAUAAAAAAAAAAGUUCAAAAAAAGAGAGAAAAAGAAGGUAGACUACAUUACUACUGAAUAUUGUUGUUCUGAAAUAGGCAGAAAAGCAUUUCUAGCUAAAGCCUUUUUUU
This is a long non-coding RNA of Ictalurus punctatus (channel catfish), 872 nucleotides long. RefSeq lists it as uncharacterized. NCBI's taxonomy places the organism in Eukaryota, Metazoa, Chordata, Actinopteri, Siluriformes, Ictaluridae. The transcript has 2 exons. The record is from RefSeq and is a predicted model, not a curated record.